RNAcentral lists this ribosomal RNA (253 nucleotides) under uncultured bacterium. RNAcentral describes it as "partial 16S ribosomal RNA". It matches the Rfam family "Bacterial small subunit ribosomal RNA", at positions 524 to 776 of the family's 1533-position model. The record is from RNAcentral.
UACAGAGGGGGCAAGCGUUGUUCGGAAUUACUGGGCGUAAAGGGCGCGUAGGCGGCCCGCUAAGUCGGACGUGAAAUCCCCGAGCUCAACUCGGGAACUGCGUCCGAUACUGGCGGGCUUGAAUCCGGGAGAGGGAUGCGGAAUUCCAGGUGUAGCGGUGAAAUGCGUAGAUAUCUGGAGGAACACCGGUGGCGAAGGCGGCAUCCUGGACCAACACUGACGCUGAGGAGCGAAAGCCAGGGGAGCAAACGGG